RNAcentral lists this ribosomal RNA (253 nucleotides) under uncultured bacterium. RNAcentral describes it as "partial 16S ribosomal RNA". It matches the Rfam family "Bacterial small subunit ribosomal RNA", at positions 524 to 776 of the family's 1533-position model. The record is from RNAcentral.
UACGUAGGGUGCAAGCGUUGUCCGGAGUUAUUGGGCGUAAAGAGCUCGUAGGCGGUCUGUCGCGUCUGCUGUGAAAACUCGGGGCUUAACCCCGGGCCUGCAGUGGGUACGGGCAGACUAGAGUGCGGUAGGGGAGACUGGAAUUCCUGGUGUAGCGGUGAAAUGCGCAGAUAUCAGGAGGAACACCGGUGGCGAAGGCGGGUCUCUGGGCCGAUACUGACGCUGAGGAGCGAAAGCGUGGGGAGCAAACAGG